This is a non-coding RNA of Bactrocera oleae (olive fruit fly), 2842 nucleotides long. Lineage: Eukaryota; Metazoa; Arthropoda; Insecta; Diptera; Tephritidae. The record is from RefSeq and is a predicted model, not a curated record.
GCAUCCUCAAAAACUAAUGCUAUAAUCUUCUUUGACAAUCGUUGUGACUUCACCUGCUUUGGAACUGAACAACCAGAUUCAGCCCACUGUAAACGUUAUUGUUUCAAUUUAAGAUCAUAUUGGAAAAUCCAAAUCUCAUUCAUAGUUAUAGAACGAUGCAAGAAAUCGCUUUUAUUCUGCUUAAAACGCUCCAAAUUAUGCUGAGAAAUUUGUUUACGAUCCAAUUUUUGUUGAAUUGUUAACGUGUGCGGCACUAACUUUCCAAACAGAUUUUUCAUAUGAAAUUCUCCAUGUAAAAUAUGAAGUACCCGUUCGUCUGACGUGCCUAUGGCAUUAGCAAUUUUACGCAUAGUCAAACUUGGACCUUCACUAACAAUAUUAUGAACUUGCUCAAUGAUUUCUGGUGUGGUUGCGGUUUUUGGUCGUCCUUCGCGUGGAUCGUCCUCAAGCCAGCUCAAAAUUAAACGGUGCGUUUUAAAGGUGAGGUCUCUUUAUACACUUCUUACAAUUGUUCAUGAAUUUAAUUUGCUUUCAAACCUAUCAAAAGAAAGAAUCUAAUCACUGCGCGAUACUCAAUUUUUUCCAUAUUAAAAAAAUGCUCUGCCACGUCAACUUCAAAUGGCUUGUAAACAAAAAAUUAAUUGACAGAAAAAUUUAUAUAUUUCGGUGGGCAAAAGUUUUGGCACGGUUCGAAUUCUCCGAAAUAAUUCCAUUGAUUCUGCUAAAAAAAAUAUAAAAAAAUUUGACAAUAACAAGUGACUGCAUGAUGCUGCACCACAUUAGAAACCUUUUAAAAAAAAUAUAGUCUUGUGUAGCGUGCAUUACAAGUAAUUACUACAAUUCUGUAAAAUGAGUCGAAGCGGACACGACAGCAGAGAAGCGAAAAAAUAUUUUACGUCUACAUUCCGCCAACAAAAGCUGUACUGAAAUCGGUGAAAUAACGAAAUUAAAUCGUUUUACCAUUCGAAGUAUAAUCAAACGUUUUAAAGAUGUGCGUUGUCUCCAAGCUGCGAAAGUUCAGGUCGUCCGAGUACGUUUAGUUCCAGAGAGGAGUCGUAUGUGUUACGUAAAAUACAAGAAAAAAAUUAUCCAAAACUGACUUCAACAAAGAUUUCUGCGGACCUUAAGGAAGAAUUAAAUAAACAUACGCAUCCGAAAACAGUACGACGUGUGCUUAUUCGCAACGGGUACAAAUCCAGAACAGCUCGAAAAAAACCUCUUAUCAGCCAGGCCAACAAAAAAAGCGUUUAGAAUUUGCUAAAGAGUAUUAAAAUAAAGCUAUAGAGAUCUAGGAUAAAGUACACAGACGAAAGAAAAUUUAACAUAUUCUAAAGUGACGGUCGAAUACAAGUAUGGAGAAAGGCAAACACUGAAUUUGACAAAAACAAUGUUAGUAAUACCGUAAAGUAUGGAGGUGGUGCAAUCAUGGUUUGGAGAUGUCAGGCAUUGGGAACUUAGUAUAAAACUUUAUAUAUGAACAUUUUGAAAUAAAAUUUGCAAGAAAGCAUAGAAAAGCUGAAUUCAGGGAAUCAGUUCUAUUUUCAGCAAGAUAGGGAUCCCAAGCAUACCUUAUGAUGUUUGUAUGUGGAUCAUUCAUCAUUCCCACGCUCUUGAAACUAAAUCAGGGGCCUUAAAUUCGAUUGAGCACUUCUGGAAUAAACUGGACCGAAGGGCCGAAAAGCAUAACGUUACAAGUAAAAGCAAAUUAAAAGAGGGACUGCAGCAUGAAUGUGCCAAUAUUGAAUCUGUGAUGAAAAGCAAAUUGGUGCACUCCAUGGCAAAUCAUUAAAAUGACGUUAUUAAAAUGUAAGGUUUGAAUACUCGUCAUUAAAUUUGUAUUUUCUUUUCCAUGUCUAAAUAUAAAUUCUAACUGUGCCAUAACUUUUGCCCAUGAAAUAUAUUCGUUAUUUAUUUAAAUUAUUGUAAAAAAAACAACCACAGACAUUACAUAAUCAAAUUAAGCAUAGUGAUAGGUAACAUAAUGUAAACUUUUCAAAUUUACUUAGACUUUCCAUAAAUUCUGUUACAAAGUUUACAAUGUAUACAGCGAGGACAAAUUGUGGCUGUAAUAUUUGUUAUGAAAUGUAUGAGUUCUUAAGAUACUUAAAUUUCGAGAAUGUUUUCUUUACAAUUGAUGACAAAAGGAGAAGUGGUCGUCCUCGCACAGUUCGAACCAAUUCUGCCAUAAAAACAGUUAGUGAACGCGUUCGCAGAAAUUCUUCCCGAAAACAGAUAAUUAUGUGAAGGGAAAUGGAUAUAUCGAACAAUCAAUGUCAAGACUUAUUCUAUUGAUCUCCAGAUGAAGCCUACCGUCGGUCAAUUGGUCAUCUUCUUACAGCGCGCUUGAAGCAAAUUAAGCUCAACAAAUGUAGAACGCGGUAAAUGGCCAUAAAAGUAUCCGUUUUACAGAUGAAAAAAUGUUCACAGUUUAAGAAGUUUUUAAUAAACCAAAUGAGAAAAUCUAUGCAAAAAAAAGGCGCAAAAAAAUUUAAUCCCAGAGUUUAACGUGGACACCAUCCAGCUGCUGUAGUGAUUUGGUGGGGAGUCCCCGAUAAAGGCAUCCCACCUUUUCACUUUUGUGGAAAAGGGAUUACAACUGGGGCAAAGGUGUGCUAGCAGUAUGUUUUAAAUGGCGUGGUUUAUAGCUUCAAACUUUAGUCCAUUAGACUACAAUUUGUGGUCAGAAUUGCAGAACAAGGCCUGUCGAACAGCCCACAGAAAUUUGGAGAGUUUCAAAAAAUGUUUGUUCUGAGCAGCGUUGUCAAUACCAGUAGAAACUGUUCGUGCUAAUGUUGAUUAAUGGUCGAUGUGCAUUAUUAAAUGGAAUUAACUUUAUUAAAAA